UACGUAGGGGGCGAGCGUUAUCCGGAUUUAUUGGGUGUAAAGCGUGUGUAGGCGGUUUCCUAAGUCCAAGGUUAAAUCCCGGAGCUUAACUCCGGUUCGCCUUGGAAACUGGGUCACUUGAGUAUGGUAGAGGCAAAUGGAAUUUCUUGUGUAGCGGUAAAAUGCGUAGAUAUUAGAAGGAACACCAGUGGCGAAGGCGAUUUGCUAGGCCAUCACUGACGCUGAAACACGAAAGCGUGGGGAGCAAAUA
Molecule: ribosomal RNA, 250 nt
Filed under: uncultured prokaryote
Description: partial 16S ribosomal RNA
Rfam family: Bacterial small subunit ribosomal RNA
Source: RNAcentral